Molecule: ribosomal RNA, 357 nt
Filed under: uncultured bacterium
Lineage: Bacteria
Description: bacterial SSU rRNA
Rfam family: Bacterial small subunit ribosomal RNA
Source: RNAcentral
AUUGAUCAUGGCUCAGAUUGAACCGCUGGCGGCAGGCCUAACACAUGCAAGUCGAGCGGAUGACGGGAGCUUGCUCCUUGAUUCAGCGGCGGACGGGUGAGUAAUGCCUAGGAAUCUGCCUGGUAGUGGGGGACAACGUUUCGAAAGGAACGCUAAUACCGCAUACGUCCUACGGGAGAAAGCAGGGGACCUUCGGGCCUUGCGCUAUCAGAUGAGCCUAGGUCGGAUUAGCUAGUUGGUGAGGUAAUGGCUCACCAAGGCGACGAUCCGUAACUGGUCUGAGAGGAUGAUCAGUCACACUGGAACUGAGACACGGUCCAGACUCCUACGGGAGUGCAGCAGUGGAGGAAUAUUGGA